GGAUUCCAUCCGACUUACAGCUGCACCAAAGGCCGACUUUGGCAGCAAUUCCUGGGCUAUAAUUUUAUAAACAGUCUUCUCUUCCCAGACUUCCAAUGUGAAUUUAGACCUCAGCACAGAUUCUGUCUCACAUCUUUAUUCUGUGUCAUCACAUUCUAAUCCGAUGACAAACAGUUGGUCUGAGAUUUCAGUAUAUUACUAUAUUAGUACAAUUUAUGUCCUGUGUGGAAGUUGAUGAAGUG
This 242-nucleotide long non-coding RNA is filed under the name Homo sapiens (human). RNAcentral's name for it is "HSALNT0033168". Lineage: Eukaryota; Metazoa; Chordata; Mammalia; Primates; Hominidae. The record is from RNAcentral.